Molecule: long non-coding RNA, 14071 nt
Filed under: Daucus carota (carrot)
Lineage: Eukaryota; Viridiplantae; Streptophyta; Magnoliopsida; Apiales; Apiaceae
Description: long non-coding RNA (DCAR_LNC003234)
Source: RNAcentral
AACAACUUUAGAGGGGUCAUACCUGAAAUGAGUCCAAAACUGAAGAAGGUGGAUUUAAGUGAAAAUCAAUUCCAGGGAAAAGUACCAAGAUCAUUAGCAAACUGCACCUUGCUUGAAGUUCUUGAUCUGGGAGACAAUCAAAUAGAUGAUUCAUUCCCUUUAUGGCUUGGAACUCUUCCAGAACUGCAGGUCCUAAUCUUGCGAUCCAACCUGUUCCAUGGAACAAUAGAGAAUCAUACCACCAAUUCAGAGUUUCCAAAGUUGCGAAUCAUCGACCUCUAUAACAAUUCUUUUGCAGGAGAUUUGCCACUGGAACACUUCAAGAACUGUGAUGCCAUGAAAUUCAAGGUAGACAAGCUGGAAUAUAUGAACGUCAUACUCCUCCCUCUAAUUGGGGGUUGGACACUCUAUGAAAACUACGGUAUUACAGUCACAAACAAAGGCAAUACGUUAUCUUAUCAGAAGGUUUCUAACCUGAUUACAUUUGUUGAUCUCUCUAGCAACAAAUUCGCAGGAAACAUUCCAGACUCCAUUGGAAGCUUUUCCGAUCUUCAGUCCCUCAAUCUUUCCAACAAUUUUCUCAGUGGUUCUAUCCCAAAAUUCACAGAAAACCUCACUGCUCUGGAGUCAUUUGACAUUUCUAGAAACAAUCUCACAGGUAAGAUCCCUCCACAGCUAGCAGGUCUAGGAUUCCUUGCAUAUUUCGACGUAUCUUUUAACCGUCUAACUGGACCGAUACCACAAGGGAAACAGUUUGAUUUAUUUCAGAACGACUCCUACAAAGGAAACAUGGCAUUAUGCGGACCACCUCUAUCCAAAAAGUGUGGAAAACAGGCACCACUGUCACCACCGUUAAUCUCUCAAGAAGACGAUGAUUCUAAUUCCUUCUUGAAUGUGGUUGGUGUGAUUAUUGCGUCCAUUGGAUUUGGAAGUGGACUAAUAGGUGGAAUUAUAUAUGGGGACAAGUUAGCAACCAAGUGCUACAUGUAUAUAACUAUUCGCUUCUUGUCAAAGUAUAUGAAAUAGAUUACUGCAGGUUUCUUGUGCACAAUAAAUAUGUUCUUCUAUGCCAGUCAGUCAUCUAUCGAGUCUAAACUCUGAUACCAUGUUAAGUGACCAGUUCUCCCGAAACCUCGAGGUGUUGGGAGGAGGGCUUAUCCGGAUCAUAUAAUAUUCCAAAAGGGCUGUUGAGUGUUGAGUCAUUUGGCUUAAUAAGAGAGGAAGAGGUAGGGCAACUUAUUCAGACAAUUUCUUUAUCUUGUGAAUCUAGUAUUAAUAUAGCCGAUAAAUUCUUCCCUAUGACAAAUUACACUUUAGAGCAAGCAUCAGCAAGAUUUUAUUCGUUUCGAUGAAAAAAAUAUCGAAGUUGGGAUUUAUGUUACCUGAUAUAUUUCCUUUGUCGAAGUUUCUCCAUUUGAUUACUAUUUACUAAUACAAAUGCUGCACCGGAGAAGAUCCAUAGAAGAACUGAGUGUUCUUGACAGGGGAUGUCAUGAUUUGAAACGCAAUUCGAUAAGAAUGACCGUUGACCGGAUAUGGAUUUAGGUCUUUUAACGGGAAACAUAUCCGCUUAACAUAUAUACUCCCUCCAUUUCAAAAUAAUAGUCGACUUUGUGCACGUAGUUUAAGGUGUGUAAAAAAAACAUGCUUCUAUAUAUUAUUUUUGAAUUUUUAUUUUUCUGAAUAAAAGUUUAACAUCCCUAUUUUUAUUAAAAAAAGAAAAUUUGAGAAAUAAUAUUUAGAAAUAUGUUUUUUAUGCACCUCAAAAUACGUGCAAAAAGUCAAAGCGACUAUUAUUUUGGAAUAGAGGGAGUAUUUAUUUGGUAGUUUAAUAUUAACUUUUUGAUAAUUAGAUGUAUCAAAAUAUAUUUUUAAAUAUAUUGAAUAUAUGAGAUGAAUUUAAAUUAAAAUAUUUAAAUAUAGUAAAAUUAGAAUAGAAUAGCUGCUAAAAUCGAUUUUAAAUUAUAAAAACCAGUAAACUAGCUCAAAUAGCGAAUUUUUGAUACUUCGACUGAUAAAUAGUUUUUUUUUAAAUAUAAACAAAUGAUAUCUGAAAUCCCAUCUGAAUCCCAUAUAUUUUUAUAUGAACAGAUUGGAUAUGAAUCAAUAUAUCUAUUAUCUAUUAUUAUAUAUCUAAUACAACAACUUUGAGUAAAUUAAUUCAAUAUGACUAAUAUACCCUUGACUUAUUACACAUAUUUUAAUAUAUAUAAAGGUUAUUAUUGACUUUUAACACUAACGUAUUUAUUAUACAUUAAUGUCUAAGCGAUGUAUUUAUUAUACAUUAAUGUCUAAGCAUUAAUAUACAUUAAUUAUAACAUGAACGAAUUAUUUUAAUAUUAUACAUAUAAAUAACAUAUAUCAUUUUUAAAAUUUUAAAUUUUGCACACAAAUUUUGUAAAUUUUAAUAUUCUACCUGAUUUUUGACUUAUUAAUCUAAUUUUGACUAAUUAAUCAUCGAUUUAAUCGAUUUCACCAUAUCGUAUUAAAAAUUCGCCUGGUUAUCGAUUAUUUGGUUAAUCGGUCGAUUUUUAGAAUAUUUAAUUAUUGUGAUUUAAUAAAAUUAUAUAUGAUUUAAUAAAAUUAUAUAUAUGAUUUUUUAACUGUACGAUAAAGACUCUGAUUCGACAAGAAUCUUAUUUGUUUUUUUUUCAAAUUUUCAAUAAUUUUAGGUGAAUGAUAAUUUAAUUAUAUAAUAAAAUUUUAAAUAGUGUAUAUUUUUUUAUGUUUAUAUUUUAAUAAAUAUCAUCAUAGCGAGGAUAUAUGUACAUUUAGACAUCAAGAUAAUAUCUAUACUAUUAUAUACUUAUAUAUAAUAAGGGUAAGGGAGAUAAUUUGGUCGCAUGGUUCUCUGGUCCAAAAGCUUAUCAGAUCUUAUAUUGAACAAAUAAGCAUCGUUAGAUUGGAACAAAAUUAAAUUCUGUUCUAGAAGGCAACUGAUAUCUACUUGCAUGUUUAUAAUUUCUUUUCUGAAUCCAAAACAAAUUCUGUCUUUCACAUGUAUAUGUUUUUUUUUAAUCCUAAAUAAAUAUUUCCUACCAGUUUUAUUCGUAGAAUCAUAUAAAUCUCACCGUCACAAUUUUUUUAUAAUAUAUUUUAAAAUUAAUAAGCCGGAUUUAUGUGAGAAACAAAUACAAAAACUUUUUCUUAAUCCAAAAUAGAUUCUACCUUCUUAUUGCAUAUUUAUGAUUCCUUUUCUUAAUUCAAAACAAAUUAUGUUUAUCAAUUUUAAUUUAGAACCAUAUAAAUUUUAUGAAAAAUAUUUAAAUCACAUUAUAAUAAUUUUAAUAUAAAAUACAUUUAUUAAUAUAAUCUAAUGGGAGUUGGCAUAACGUAUUCCACUCAAAACUUAAGCCUAUGACAAUUUUCUACAAUUUAAUAUAAAAUACAUUUAUUAAUAUAAUCUAAUGGCUGUGACGAUGCGGUUUAUAUGAUUCUACAAUUAAAAUUUGUAAGAAAUAUUUAUUUUGAAUUAAAAAUAACCAAAAACACAUGAAAGACAAAAUUUGUUUUGGAUUCAGAAAAAAAUUAUUAACAUGCAAGUAGAUAUCAGUUUUCUUAUAGAACAUAAUUUAAUUUUGUUCUAAUUUAACGGUGCUUAUUUGUUCAACAUACGAUCCAACGGAUGAUAAGCUUUUGGACCACAGGACCAUGCGACCAAAUUAUCUCCCUUACGCUUAUUAUAUAUAAGUAUAUAAUAACAUGUUAUAGUAUAUUUUUUUAUUAUCUAUUAACCAAAACAUUAAAUUUAGGUUAGUAUGAUGGGUCGGUAUUUGGUUUCAUGCAUCUCUUUAAAUUAUAAUAUGUUUUAUAUGAUAUUAUUAAUUAUUAAUAACGAGAUAUUAAAAGGUUGAUUGGUUAGUUUGGAUCUGAGUUUAUAGGCCUCCUUAAACUAUAACAUGUAAAAAAAAUAUUUUAACAUUCUCAUUAAAAUAUAUAUGUUCGACCUAAUUUUAAUUAGUAAUUUGACGGACUUAACUAUGAAGAAUUUAUCCAAUUGUUAAAUAAAAUAUUUAUUUAACCAAAUUAUUCUAUCAUAAUUUUAUUUUUACAAUAAAAUUAGAUAAAUUAAAAAUAUAUACAAUUAAAUAAUAAAUAUGUUAACCGCCCGUGCAUUGCCCGGGUUAUAAGCUAGUGACUUAUAAUACGAGUACAUAUGAAAUUUAAAUUAUUUUUAUAAUAUAAAUAAUCUCAAUUAUUUUAAAAAUAAAUAAAAAAUAUAAUAAUAUAUCAAAAAAAUAAUUUAAAGCAACCCGUGUAAGAAGCUAGUUUAAAUAAAGCCCUAAUCCUAUAUAAUUAAAUGAAUAUAAUAAACAUAUUUAAUGAACAUACCACUUGGUUCUGGUACAAGGGCCUAACCAGGCAUAUCAUUUGGAAUCGCAAAUAGUGAACUUCCAUCAGCUCAAAUUCUGUAUCAGUUCAACUGAAACUCUCUGACGGAAUUAUGCCAGAAGAACUCUGACAUGUCAGAGCGAUUCAGAAGAGCUGUCAGGAUACAAAAUCGAACUAAAUGGGAACCCCCUUCAUUCCUAGAUAUCACCUAGUAAAGUACUUGUUUUCUAAGCUAAUAAACUCGCAUAAUGCUAUCGUCCAAUGUAUGUCAGUGGCAACGCUUAAGAUGCUACCGCUGUUUUUCCACCUUGUUCAAAUUAACUUGCUUAUCAUGUAAUAUGGUCUGCAACAUUAGUCAUUACUGGUAUCUACUAUGUACUAAGUUACUCUGCUUUCUGCAAAAUAUAAAUGAAGCGAUCACUAGAAUCCUAAAUUUUUUCAGUUUGUUAAAAUAAUGAUUUUGGCUGGAUCUGCAAAGGGGCAGGGUUGUUAACUGUCAUUUUCCAGUCUGUAAUCAGUUUCCUCAUAACAGCAAAUUUUCCUCGUCAAAUCUAUUCGCUAUAUUCAUUUCUCGUGCCUGGUUUCAUAUUGUUUAACAUUAUUAGUUAGGUAGAAUAAGAGCUAGUAGGAAAAUCAUAUAGUAUAAAAAACAAAAGUUUCUGGCUCACACACAAUUCAGCUUUGGUUAUCAUUUAGUAUGGCUACCUUUGUUGAAUCUGACCCUUCCAGUCUUCCACUACCACCUCUUCUUUCUUACAACUUGUUGAAUUUCAGUUCCCAUCGGAUUUGCUCUUAAUGUAAUGUAUAAUGUAAUAACAUCUAAUAAAAGACAAGUCUUUCCUUAUUUAAAGGGGUUUUUAUGUACAUUUUUGUUGAUCCUCAUGGAGGCACAUAUCUAGCUUACAGAAAUUUAUAUAACCUGCGUUAUUGUCAUAGUUCAUAUCAGUCAUAAGAAAAUUUUAGGCACUGUACCGUUUGGGUAUUAUGGUGUCAAUGUCUUCGUAUAUUGUUUGCAUACUGCAUCCUCUCUUCAUACUAUGCAUUUUUCAUUCUAGUUUAGUCGGAAGUACAGAAUCAGAUUCUUCCAUGCAACCACUUUGCCAUGUCGAGGAGAGAAUGGCAUUGUUACGGUUCAAACAGGGGUUUGAAAUCCUGAAAACAGCGUCUCGUAUGCCUUCUGCUUAUCCAAAGAUUCUAUCAUGGAAGUCCCAAGGAGAAGGGAGUACGGAUUGCUGCUCGUGGGAAGGAGUCUAUUGCGAUCAAGAGACAGGUCAUGUUGAUGGUCUUGACCUUAGUAGCAGUUUUCUCUAUGGUUCCAUUGAUUCUGAAAGCAGCCUGUUUCGCCUUUCUUACUUGCGCAGCUUAAAUCUUGCUGACAAUCAUUUUAAUUACUCCUUGAUUCCAUUCAAAAUAGCUUCUUUUUCCAGACUUUCACAUCUUAAUCUUUCAUCUUCUGUAUUUUCUGGCCAGAUUCCAUCAGAGAUCUUGAAAUUGUCCAACUUGACCUCUCUUGAUCUAUCUUUUAAUGUAAAUUUUUCAUCCCUGGAGAAUCUUUUGAAACUUGAGACACCUGAUCUAAGAAGCCUUGCUGGAAACUUGACAAACUUGAAGGUACUUGACCUCAGUAUGGUGAACAUUUCAUCUGCAGUACCUGAUUUGAUGACAAAAUUAUUCUUUCUGUCAACUCUUGGGCUCAGAAAGUGUGGGUUAUAUGGUGAAAUUCCGAUUGAAAUCUUCCAGCUGCAAAACUUAUUAAUUCUUGAUGUUGGGAGGAAUCGGGAACUCAGGGGUCAUGUGCCUGAAAUUUUUGAUUCCAGCCUAAAGCUUGAAGAAUUAAGACUUGACUACACAGAUAUCUCCGGCAAGCUACCAGACUCCAUAAUGAAACUCAAAUCUUUAAGGAUUCUGGAUAUCCACUACUGCCUUUUUUCAGGUUUUAUUCCAGCUACAGUCAGUAACAUGACCACACUUACGACACUGGAUUUGAGCAGGAAUUAUUUUUCUGGCAAGGUUCCACCCCUUGCAAGCAUGUCACAACUCUCUUACCUGUCACUUGCUCAUAAUAAUUUCACCGGAAAGAUAUCAGCAUCCUUUGCAAAUCUUACCAGUCUAACUUAUUUAGAUCUUAGUAAUAAUAGAUUUUCAGGGGUCAUCCCGUCUUGGCUUGUGAACCUAACUCAUUUAACACAUCUUGACCUCUCUUACAAUCCAAUGAAGGGAUCAAUUCCAACAUCAUGGUCACAGAUUGAAAAUCUUGAAUAUCUUAACCUUUUUCAUGCUAAUCUCAGUGGCAUUGUAGAAGCAGAUAUAUUUCUUUGCUUAAAAAAACUAACUGUUCUUCAACUUUCGCAGAACAAUCUUUUUUUAGUAGACAAUAACAGAACCAACAUUACUCUUCCACAAUUCAAAUACUUGUCUAUAAGUAAUUGCGGAAUGAAGGAGUUCCCAUAUUUCCUCCGGUUUCAAGAUGAACUAGAGGAUCUGUUCUUUGACUCGAAUGAAAUUGAAGGCCUGAUACCAGAAUGGAUUUGGAACAAAAGCAGGGGUAGCAUGGAUUCACUAUGGCUUGGAGGAAACCAACUUACAGGAUUUGACAAUAAUCCAAGUGUUCUGCCAUGGACUCGUUUACGUUUACUGGAUUUAGGAGAUAACAUGAUGCAAGGUUCCCUCCCAGCAUCGACCCUAACUUAUUAUGCAUCAGAUAAUAUUUUGACAGGGGAAAUCUCGCCUUUGAUCUGCAAUGCAAAAUCUCUCAUUCUGCUACAAUUGAGCUACAACUACUUGGGCGGCGAGAUUCCUUCAUGUCUAGGAAACUUCAGCAAUGAUUUGAUGAUACUGAAUCUAAAAGCGAACAACUUUAGUGGGGUCAUACCUGAAAUGAGUCCAAAACUGAAGAAGGUGGAUUUAAGUCAAAAUCAAUUCCAGGGAAAAUUACCAAGAUCAUUAGCAAACUGCACCUUGCUUGAAGUUCUUGAUCUGGGAGACAAUCAAAUAGAAGAUUCAUUCCCUUUAUGGCUUGGAACUCUUCCAGAACUGCAGGUCCUCAUCUUGCGAUCCAACCUGUUCCAUGGAACAAUAGAGAAUCAUACCACCAAUUCAGAGUUUCCAAAGUUGCGAAUCAUCGACCUUUAUAACAAUUCUUUUGGAGGAGAUUUGCCACUUGAACACUUCAAGAACUGUGAUGCCAUGAAAUUCGAGGUAGACAAGCUGGAAUAUAUGGACGUCAUACUCCUCCCUCUAAUUGGCGGUUGGACACUCUAUGAAAACUACGGUAUUACAGUCACAAACAAAGGCAAUACGUUAUCUUAUCAGAAGGUUUCUAACCUGAUUACAUUUGUUGAUCUCUCUAGCAACAAAUUCACUGGGAAAAUUCCAGACAGCAUUGAAAGCUUUAGGAAUCUACAGUCCCUCAAUCUUUCCAACAAUUUUCUCAGUGGUUCUAUCCCAAAAUUCACAGCAAACCUCACUGCUCUGGAGUCAUUUGACAUUUCUAGAAACAAUCUCACAGGUAAGAUCCCUCCACAGUUAGCAGGUCUAGGAUUCCUUGCAUAUUUUGACGUGUCUUUUAACCGUCUAACUGGACCGAUACCACAAGGGAAACAGUUUGAUUUAUUUCAGAAUGACUCUUACAAAGGAGACAUGGCAUUAUGCGGACCACCUCUAUCCAGAAAGUGUGGAAAACAGGCACCAUUGUCACCACCGUUAAUCUCUGAAGAAGACGAUGAUUCUGAUUCGUUCUGGAAUGUGGUUGGUGUGAUUAUUGCAUCCAUUGGAUUUGGAAGUGGACUGAUAGGGGGAAUUAUAUACGGGGACAAGCUAGCAACCAAGUGCUGCAUGUAUAUAACUAUUCGCUUCUUGUCAAAGUUUGUGAAAUAGACCAAAUGAAAGGAUGAUCAACCUGGAUGUUUUGUUGUCAUUUAUCUAUGUAUUAUUAAGUUCUUUCCGAAAGAGCUAUGGAUUAUUCGAAUUUCAUGUAACUAAAGCUCCUGUCAUUUAUGCAAUAGUAUAUAUCUUGAAAAUUAUGUAUAUAGUUUUGUUAUUUGUGAAGUUGGAGAAAAUUUAGUGAAGGUGUUGAGUUCAGAGAUUUGAUUUUACUAAUGAUUGAAUACAUAUUUUUUGUCCUUUCACUUGAUGCCUGCAUCAUAAUUUUACAGUUAACUUAGCAGGGUCUCUCCCACAGAGCUUAACUUUUAUACUAGCAUUUUGGUUGUUAAUGUGAUUCAACUUGUGUUUUCUUUAAAUUACAUAUACUAGCCUUUAAGGGCGGGUAUAUAAUUCAUAAUUUAUUAAUUAUAAUUUAAAUCUUAACACUAUUUUAUUAGUAUUUUAGUAUUAAUGAAUUGGAUUUAAUUAAAUUAUAUUAACCAACGUAUUAUAUCUUCCAGCGGAAAUUUAGCUUUCACAAUUUAUUAUCUAUCUAUAAAUAUUUUUCUGAUAUUAAUAUGUGACAGUUUAUUAUUCAAUUAAUUUUAAAUCAAAAUUUUCAUAUUUCAUAUAUCUUCAUAUGUUACGUAAUGUUUCGUGUUUGUAAUGAAAUAGAACAUGUUAGAGUUAAAUUUCGAGUAGAAUACGUUAUAAUCAAAAAGUAGCGUUUAUAAUUAUUUAUAUGUAUUUUAGACAAAAAAUAUUCAAAAUUGUAUAUUUAUAAUUAGUUAUACAUUUAUCUAUAAGCAUUUUUUUAAUAUUAACUAAUUAUAAAUUAUAUUUAAAAAGAUAUUAAUAUACAUAAGGAGUGUUUUUAGUAUAUGAAACUGUUUAAUAGAUAUCUACAUGUUGUAGACUUUUAGUUUUAGAGGAGAGUACCAAACCAAGAGACUCCCAAACCAAAAAUUUGUACGACUACAAAUUAUACCCAUGUUGGCUUUUUAUAGUAUAUAUAUAUAUAUACUAGCCUUUAACCCGUGCGAAGCACGGGCGGAUAUAUAGUUCGUAAUUUAUUAUUUAUAAUUUAAAAUUCAACAUCAUUUUAUCAGUAUUUUAGUAUUAAUAGAUUGAAUUUUAAUCCGAAGUUAGUACACGUAGAUUUAAAAAUAAAAAAAUAAAAAAAUUAAAAUCUUUUCCAAACAUAGCCGAUCGUGUAAUACAUUUGAAAGAUUCAGUAAAUCAAUCGAACUUCAACGUAAUUUUUUAAUCUUAAUUUUUUUGACAACAAUAACUUUUAAGAUUAGAGUUAGAAAGGGUUAUGUAAUGGUUCGUGUUUAUAUUGAGAUAGAACACGUUAAAGUUAAAAAGAGUUAUAUGAAUGUUCUUGUUAAAAGUAGAUAUUCAAAAUUGUAUAUUUAUAAUUCUAUUUAUAACAUCAUUAUAAUAUUUAUAAUGAAAUAUUAUAUGAUAAUGGAUUGUUAUGAGUGUUUUUAGUAUUUGAAACUGUUUAACAAUAUAAUACUAAUAGACUCCACAUUUGUAGACUUGUAGUACCAAAAGGAGACUACCAAACCAAAAAAUAUAACUAAAACCUUGGACUACAAAUUAUACCCAUGUUGGCUUAUUAUAGUAUAGUAUAGAUGAAAUGUCUUUUACAACUUAUUGCUUCUUAAGGUGAUUACCGGGGAAUGAAUUUAAGGUAGAUUGGAAAUAAUUUCACAAACUAUUUUUCAAUUUUUUUAUAUAAGUUUAUUUAUUUUUUUUAAUUUUUUUUUAAAAAAGAGAAGUUAAAAGGUAAAUAAUACUAAUUUUUUUACAUCUUAAAAUAUGUGAAAAAAAUCAAAAUGACUAUUCUUUUCACGAAAUAUAUAAAAAGUUUAUGUUUAAAUUUGCAUAUUAAGUGGUCAUAAAAUAAAAAUGUUCACCAGAAUGGGACAUAUGACUAACAGUAUGAAUCAAGCCACCAAAGGUUUAUUUGAAGUCACUGAUUUCACAAUAGUGCUUCUAAAUGCUAAUCAACUUUUGAGAAAGUAUUUUAAUAUGACUUUAUAGUUUAUACAAUGUUUUUAUACAAUGUAUAUUAAUCAGUGUUGUAAAAAGCGGGAAUCAGACUUAAUCGGUGAAGUCACGGAACAUGGAUUAAUCGGUGAUUAAUUGAAUUGAUCGGGGAUUAAUCGGAUUAAUCAAUUCGGCGAGCUACGGAACAAGUAUUAAUCGGUGACUAAUCGUGAUUAAUCACCGACUUUUAGAACAGAGAUUUUAAUAUGACUUUACUUCCAUCGCCUAUGUAUAAAUUUAUACUGCAGAUCAUUUUGCAUCAGAGGUUAACGUCAUUAUUAUGAUUUUUGUUUAUAAUCUUUGAUUUGAUUUGGAUCCAGCAAGGGUUGCUCAAAAUGUCAGUUUCAGUGUGAAAUCAAAUUCCUCAGAGGAGCAAAGUUUCUUCGUCAACUGAAGUCAAUUCUGUGGGAUCUAAAGGAUGCCUGAAGUCACUACUUUUCUUGCUCGUACUUAGUUUCAGAUAUUAUUAGUUAGGUAAAAGAAAAUCCAGUAGGAAUAUCAUAUAGUACAUAUCAUAAUAACGAAGUUUCUGGCUCAAUUUAAUUUUGCUAUCUUACCGAGUAAGACUUUUACUACAAGAAGAAGAAAGAAAUUAAAACGUAAGUACCUGAAAAUACCAUGGCCCAUGUAUAAUUUAUAUUGCAGAUCAUUUUCAGUCUGAAAUCAUUUUGCUCACAGGAGCAACUUUUCUUCGUCAAUUGAAGUCAUUUCUUUAGGAUAUUAAGGAUGCCAGAUGUCACUAGUUUUCUUUCUCGUACGUGCACCUGGUUUGAACUGUUUCUUUAAUAUUAUUGAUUAGGUAGAUAUAUACUUUCCCAAAAACUGAAAAGGGUCACUAGAAGAAAAUCUAGCAGGGAUAGCAUAUAUAUUAAUCUAACAGAGACUGAUUGACAUAUGGACAAUGAAGUUUUUGGCUUCUUCAGCAAUUGUCACAAAUCAACAUUGAUAUUAUAAGAAGUUAGAUGUACUGGAAAAUACCUGAGAAGAACAAUGCAAUAUUAAUAUCUUAGCAUACUGGAGCAAUCCAUUCCAGAAAAUUUUGUAAAAAGAUAAGAGCAUCGAGAAAAAUUCAUACAACCCUAUUGAAAUAAUGCAAAGAGUAGUAAUAGUCGUAGUUGUACAGGGUUAGAGGAUUCAUUCGUAGCCUAGUGGCAAUCAGCAAAAAUUCCNCCCAUAAAACCCCCCCCCCCCCCCCCCCCCAAUGUGACAAAAUUCGAAACCUUACCAACCUCUCAGUUCCCUCUGUAGGAUGUAGAAAAACUGUAUAUGAACAUAAGAACUAACAGCUCAACUAGUAAAGCUAAGAAAUGUUUAUUUAGCAGCCUGGCAGGGAUCCUAGUCAUCUAUACAGUUCAAGUCUUUCUUUAUACAUUCAACUAGUUUUUUAAGUAUAUUUCGUAGACUCUCAUGCAGUCAUGCAUGCACAUACCUAACUUAAAGAAUAAAUGAAGCAUAUUUAUAUAUUUGUUGGCUAUAUAUAGUUGUAUAUAAGAUAAACUGACCUAGUUGUCAUAGUUCAUAUCAGUGAUAAGCAAAAUAUAUGCACUGUACCAUAUUAGUAUUAUGGUUUCAUUAGCUUCAUAUAUUAUUUCCAUACUGCAUCAUCUCUUUCUACUAUGCAUUUUUCUUUCUAGAUUAGUUGGUAGUACAAGUUCAUAUCCUUCCAUGGAGCCGCUUUGCCAUGCGGAGGAGAGAAUGGCCUUGUUGCGGUUCAGAGAAGGGUUUGAAAUCCUGAAAACAGCCUCUCAUGGGCCUUCUGCUUAUCCAAAGAUUCAAUCAUGGAAGCUCCAAGGAGACGGGAGUACGGAUUGCUGCUCGUGGGAUGGAGUCUACUGCGACCAACAGACAGGUCAUGUCGAUAGUCUUGACCUUAGUAGCAGUUUUCUCUAUGGUUCCAUUGAUUCUGAAAGCAGCCUAUUUAGCCUUUCCCACUUACACAGCUUAAAUCUUGCUGACAAUCAUUUUAAUUACUCCUUCAUUCCAUCCAAAAUAGCUUCUCUUUCCAGACUUUUACAUCUUAAUCUUUCGUCUUCUGUAUUUUCUGGCCAGAUUCCAUCAGAGAUCUUGAAAUUGUCCAACUUGACCUCUCUUGAUCUGUCUUUUAAUGUAAAUUUCUCAUCCCUGGAGAAUCUUUUGAAACUUGAGACACCUGAUCUAAGAAGCCUUGCUGGAAACUUGACAAACUUGGAGGUACUUGACCUCAGUAUGGUGAACAUUUCAUCUGCAAUACCUGAUUUGAUGACAAAAUUAUUUUUUUUGUCAACUCUUGGGCUCAGAAAGUGUGGGUUAUAUGGUGAAAUUCCGAUUGGCAUCUUCCAGCUGCCAAGCUUACUAAUUCUUGAUGUAGGGAGGAACCGGAAACUCAGGGGUCAUGUGCCUGAAAUUGUUAGUUCCAGUCUAAAGCUUGAGGAAUUAAGACUUGACUACACAGAUAUCUCCGGCAAGCUACCAGACUCCAUAAUGAAACUCAAAUCUCUAAGGAUUCUGGAUAUCAACUACUGCCUUUUCUCAGGUUUCAUUCCAGCCACAGUCAGUAACAUGACCACACUUACCACACUGGACUUGAGCAGAAAUUAUUUUUCAGGCAAGGUUCCACCCCUUGCAAGCAUGUCACAACUCUCUUACCUGUCACUGGCUAACAAUAAUUUCACCGGAAAGAUAUCAGCAUCCUUUGCAAAUCUUACUAGUCUAACUUAUUUAGAUCUUAGUACUAAUAAAUUUUCAGGGAUUGUCCCAUUGUGGCUUAUGAACCUAACUUAUUUAACACACCUUGACCUUUCUUUCAAUCAAUUAAUGCAUGGAUCAGUUCCAAAAUCAUUGUCACAGCUUCAAAAUCUUGAAUAUCUCAGUCUUUCUCAUGCUAAUCUCAGUGGCACUAUAGAAGAAGAUAUAUUUCUCAGCUUGAAAAAACUAACUUACCUCCAACUUUCGCACAACACUCUUUCUUUAGUAGAUAAUAACAAAACCAAUACCACUCUUCCACAAUUCAAGUACUUGGCUUUAAGUGAAUGCAACACGAGAAAGUUCCCAAGUUUCCUACAGUUUCAAGAUGAACUAGAAGAUCUGUUCCUUGAUUUGAAUCAAAUUGAAGGACUUAUACCAGAAUGGAUUUGGAACAAAAGCAGAGAAAGCAUGAAUUCGGUAUGGCUUGGAGGAAACCAACUAACAGGAUUUGACCAUAAUCCUGGAGUCUUGCCGUGGACUCGUUUACGUGUAUUGGACUUAAGUGAUAACAUGAUGGAAGGUCCUCCACCAGUUCUCCCAGCAUCAACCCUAGCUUUUUUUGCAUCAGGAAAUAGAAUGACAGGGGAAAUCUCGCCUUUGAUCUGCAAUGCGAAAACUCUCAUUGUAUUAGAAAUGAGUAACAACAACUUGGUUGGCGAGAUUCCCUCAUGUCUAGGAAACUCUAGCCAUGAUUUGAUGAUACUGAAUCUAAAAGGGAACCACUUUAAAGGAAUCAUACCUGAAAUGAGUUCAGAAGGACUAACGAUGUUGGAUUUAAGUCAAAAUCAAUUACAGGGGAAAGUACCAAGAUCAUUAGCAAACUGCACCUUGCUUCAAGUUCUUGAUCUAGGAGACAAUCAAAUAGAUGACUCAUUCCCUUUAUGGCUUGGAACUCUUCCAGAACUGCAGGUCCUAAUUUUGCGAUCCAACAUGUUCCAUGGUACAAUAGAGAAUCAUACAACCAAUUCAGAGUUUCCAAAGUUGCGAAUCAUCGACCUCUAUAACAAUUCUUUUGCAGGAGAUUUGCCACUUGAACACUUCAAGAAUUGUGAUGCCAUGAAAUUCAAGGUAGACAAGCUGGCAUAUAUGGAUG